This 322-nucleotide ribosomal RNA is filed under the name uncultured eukaryote. RNAcentral describes it as "partial 18S ribosomal RNA". It matches the Rfam family "Eukaryotic small subunit ribosomal RNA", at positions 1470 to 1796 of the family's 1831-position model. The record is from RNAcentral.
CCCUUAGAUGUUCUGGGCCGCACGCGCGCUACACUGACGGGGACAACGAGUUUGCAACCUGCGCCGGUAGGUGUGGGUAAUCUUUUGAGCCCUCGUCGUGCUGGGGCUAGAUCUUUGUAAUUUUCGAUCUCAAACGAGGAAUUCCUAGUAAACGCAAGUCAUCAGCUUGCAUUGAUUACGUCCCUGCCCUUUGUACACACCGCCCGUCGCACCUACCGAUUGAAUGGUCCGGUGAAAUCUCGGGACGGCGGCUUGGUCGCUUGCGUCCGACUGCUGAAACUUGAUUAAACCAUAUCAUUUAGAGGAAGGUGAAGUCGUAACA